AGGACGAACGCUGGCGGCGUGCCUAACACAUGCAAGUCGAACGCGCUCCAUUCGGUAGCAAUACUGAUGAAGAGUGAGUGGCGAACGGGUGAGUAACACAUGAGCAACCUGCCCCGAAGACUGGGACAACACCGGGAAACCGGUGCUAAUACCGGAUAUCCCUAUCGGACCGCAUGAUCUGAUAAGGAAAUGGAUUCCGCUUCGGGAGGGGCUCGUGGCCUAUCAGCUAGUUGGUGAGGUAACGGCUCACCAAGGCAUCGACGGGUAGCUGGUCUGAGAGGACGAUCAGCCACACUGGGACUGAGACACGGCCCAGACUCCUACGGGAGGCAGCAGUGGGGAAUAUUGCGCAAUGGGCGAAAGCCUGACGCAGCGACGCCGCGUGGGGGAUGAAGGCCUUCGGGUUGUAACCCCUUUCAGCAGGGACGAAGCGAGAGUGACGGUACCUGCAGAAGAAGCGCCGGCUACUACGCGCCAGCAGCCGA
RNAcentral lists this ribosomal RNA (485 nucleotides) under uncultured bacterium. RNAcentral's name for it is "SSU rRNA". It matches the Rfam family "Bacterial small subunit ribosomal RNA", at positions 26 to 518 of the family's 1533-position model. The record is from RNAcentral.